UUUAUCAAGUGCCAUAAUUAAAAAUCAACCAAAUUAAAAUACAAUCUAUUAGAUUCCCAUAGAUUGCCAGUUAUGCCUUGUUACAUUUAUUUUGAUUCCAAUAAGGUAUUUUUUAAUUCUGUCCACCAUUUAUUCUGCUAGCAGUUUUUCACAACUAAUCUAUCAGUUUCAUACUAAUCUAUCAGGAGUGUGACAAACACCUUUGUUUCCCUUACUGUUUUUUUAACUAAGAGAGUGAGAGAUCCUUCUGAAGGUUUCCUUUCAUCUCAGAGAGCCAAAUUUUGUUUCAGUUUAAGUAUUUUGUAACUGAAUAAGUUCAGCUGGAGAUCAAAUAAGAUAAGACUUUGACUUCAGUCAAUUUUUGCAACAUCAGGUUGUGUUACUUUAAAAAUAGUUUAGUUGUUUCUUUUACACACUGGAAACCAUCACUCAGAUUUCCUUUUAGAAAAGAAACUAAAAAUGUUUUCUCAUGUCUCCAGCAUUCGUCCUCUGAAAACUGACAGUUUCCAGUGGGCUGUCAUUAAUGAGAGAAGAAUCCAAACAUGAGUAGCAGGCACAGCAAUCUGUCCUUUCAGUGAAGGAACCACAUACCAGUAUUGUGAAAUCCCACUGGAAUUUCAAAACUUGAAGUGUCUAUAAACAAAGGAAGCAUCUCUCAAGUGGUGAUCAUGUUCAUAACACCUUGAAGCCCUCUGGGAGUGAUUGUGCCAUUUUCAUCCAUGCUGCAAAUCUCUGCAGGUGAAAUCUGACUGCAUCACAUGAAUGUAUGGCCCUUAAUGCCUCAAGUUUAAAAGCAGCAAAUCAAGUGAAGACGGGAACAAAGAAAAGGCAGCAUACAUAACAAUUAAUU
Molecule: long non-coding RNA, 850 nt
Organism: Prinia subflava (tawny-flanked prinia)
Lineage: Eukaryota; Metazoa; Chordata; Aves; Passeriformes; Cisticolidae
Exons: 4
Source: RefSeq, a predicted model, not a curated record